This 255-nucleotide ribosomal RNA is filed under the name uncultured prokaryote. RNAcentral describes it as "partial 16S ribosomal RNA". It matches the Rfam family "Bacterial small subunit ribosomal RNA", at positions 523 to 777 of the family's 1533-position model. The record is from RNAcentral.
AAACGUAGGAGGCGAGCGUUAUCCGGAUUCACUGGGCGUAAAGCGCGUGCAGGUGGCUUGGUAAGUUAGGCGUGAAAUCUCCCGGCUCAACUGGGAUAGGUCGUCUAAUACUACCGGGCUAGAGAACAGAAGAGGAAGAUGGAAUUCGCGGUGUAGUGGUGAAAUGCGUAGAUAUCGGGAGGAACACCAGUGGCGAAGGCGAUCUUCUGGUCUGUUUCUGACACUCAGACGCGACAGCUAGGGUAGUAAACGGGA